UACGAAGGGGGCUAGCGUUGUUCGGAUUUACUGGGCGUAAAGGGCGCGUAGGCGGUUCUACAAGUCAGAAGUGAAAGCCCUGGGCUUAACCCGGGAAUUGCUUUUGAAACUGUAAGACUAGAGUAGGGGAGAGGUGAGUGGAAUUCCAAGUGUAGAGGUGAAAUUCGUAGAUAUUGGGAAGAACCCCAGUGGCGAAGGCGGCUCACUGGACCCUAACUGACGCUGAGGCGAGAAAGCGUGGGGAGCAAACAGG
This 253-nucleotide ribosomal RNA is filed under the name uncultured bacterium. Its description in RNAcentral is "partial 16S ribosomal RNA". It matches the Rfam family "Bacterial small subunit ribosomal RNA", at positions 524 to 776 of the family's 1533-position model. The record is from RNAcentral.